This is a long non-coding RNA of Lates calcarifer (barramundi perch), 11942 nucleotides long. RefSeq lists it as uncharacterized. Lineage: Eukaryota; Metazoa; Chordata; Actinopteri; Centropomidae. The record is from RefSeq and is a predicted model, not a curated record. The transcript has 4 exons.
GAGGCCUAUAUCCAUCCCAGGGUUACUAUAACUCGUCUGGAGAGAGGGGGAAGGAGUAGAUGCCAGCGGUAUGUGGGUGAUGCAGACAAGCUCAACACUAAACUUUCCAGAAGCAUAAAUGUUCCCGGCACGUUUUGAGUCAGUCAAGCAGCCAAAACCAUCCAGUCCCAGCAGGCCUAUCAGCGUCUGGGAUCUGGCUUUACAGAUCCUCCUGCAGGAGAAGGGACACAAUGACCCAUAUAAACCUGCCGUGUAGAUUACACUCAGGCUACUGGGAGAUGUUUGCAUCAUCGCUCUUUUCAAACUCCAGUUUUAGAGAUGCCAUCUUCACUGAUAACCCGUCAGAGAGGAAAAACUCCAUCAGACAACUUCCUGUCUGCCUUUUCCAACAAGAGGAGGAGCCAUGAUGCAUACUGUGGGUGUGUGGCUUAUCCAGCCAGAGUAAAAUACGUCUGAUCAACUGUUUCAUGCCCGGACAGUUUAAUCAGAAGAGGAGCCCUGGGGGCAGGUGCAGCGUCUUGUUCCAGGUGGGAUGAGGAUUUGCUCGAGCGGGGAAAAAAAACAAAAAAAAACAGAGCAGCCCUAUUAAUUAUUAAAGACAAUUCGAGAGGAGCAGGAAGGCGUUGAUGUGGGUAAUGAUUUAUAGUAGAUGUGAUAAAUAGAUGUGCAAAUGUGUCAAAACAUUCCAAUUAAAGUAUACUGACACACAACUACCUUUUACCAUUAGAGACUAAUUUAAAAGCACAAAACCUCGUAGCCUUGACGAGACUUAAUUCACACAAAACAAACUGAGGUCAAAAGAAUUUAUGAACCACAGAGGGUCAUGUUUUUUUCUAGCAUAGACGGAUGCUAUUGGAGAUACUAUCAUUGCUGUUUCUGAGUAAGGUGUCUACAUCUGUGGUCAAAUUACACCUUUACCUGGAUUUUAUGAGGCUCCACUGCAUAUUUAGGGAUAAUAAAACUUAAACAUCUCACUACACUAGACUCCUUUGUUACAAAAAACCUCAAUUCAUCAGUGUUGUCAGGCCCUAGAGGCAUGUACUAACCGGACAAACACCCCCACCAAUGUUACCUCCAUAUAAGGGUGCUGUACACGCGUCAUUGCCUAACACAGCUAACCCCAGAAUUGCCCAAUACCUGCACAAACAGAAAGAAGUAGAGGAUAGAACACAUUUUGUACUGUCUGUACAUUCAGUCUGCUGUUGAGUUUCUCUUGCUGAAUGAGUAAAAUUUGUUCUUCUUUUGGGUUUCGUGCCCACAGAGUUGAUGUCAUUGGGCUCUGAGCUCUGCCAGUAUGCAGCAGAAAAUUACAGGGCAUCACCAGCAACAUGGAUACACUGCAAGUACAAACAACAAACAACAUUCACUCUGUACCCAUUGCUGUUUGUUGACAAUGGAACAUUUUAUAUUUAUUUCUCAAAACAGACACAACAAUAAACAAAAUGAGUGGCUGUGAUUGGUAUAAAAUAUUUUGCAAUGAUAGUUAAAUUAAGAAACAGUUUUUAUGUUUCACAGGUUAUAAAAACAGUGGUGACCAAAAAUGCUGGAAACUAUUCUUGGUUGUAAUGUCCUCCAAGUGCUAUAAAUAGCAGCCUGAGUAUGUCAUGACACAUGGAAAGUAACAAACAGAGUGUUAAUCGGAUGACAGAGAUAUGUGUCAGUUUCCUUUAGUUCGUGAACAGCAGCGCUGUGCUGCAGCAUGGCUUAUAAUUCAAACAUCUGGAUUUAGUUUGGGCUCAAUUUUCUCUCAUAGAGUCAUAUUUUAGUGUUAUUAUCUAUCAGCUUUGCUUCAUCUGUUGCCUGAUUCAGUUUGGUUUUGUUUGCAACAUUUCUUGCUGCUGUGUUGGCCUGCUCUCCUCCCUUAAUGAUUCUCACCUGCUUAAACAUUAAAGGGGUUAUUUCUAAGUUUUGUCUGCCACCAAACAUAUAUUUUUUCCAGGAGCAGAUGGAGGCGAUGGUCCCUUGCUGCGAGUUUGUUGGGCUAUUGUUGGGCUACGGGCUAGCUGUCUAGCAUGCUAACUUCAGUAGAAGGAAAGAAGAGAUAGAACUAGGAGCAAAAUACUGGCGUCGUUUUCCACCACUGGAAACAGUUCUUGGCAAGUAAAGGAAUGAAGUUUGAAGAUGAACUCGCAGAAUUUCUUCUAUACUGCUAAGUAAACAGCUAUGAAAGCUAACACUGGCUAUGUAGCGAUAGCAAAACUUACAUAAAACUCCUCUGAAUAAUUAGCAACUAGAAUUACCUUAGCCAACCAGUCCAGUUGCAGUUAAUUAGCAUGUCUUGUGUGGUCACAGCGACCUUUGACCUUUGACCACCAAAUCAUAAUCAGUUCAUCCUUCAUUCGUCCAAAUGAACGUUUGUGCCAAAUCUGAAAGUAUUUCCUCAAGCUGUUUUUGAGAUAUCACAUUCACAAGAAUGGGACAGAUGAACGGACAGAUGGACCAAUGACCCAAAAACACAAUGCCUCCGGCCGAGGCUGUCACCAGCGCCAAGGCAUAAAAACCUAAAUCCAAACUACAUCUAUAAUACUCUUAGGUAUCACAACUAUUUUUGUUUGCUGGGUAGAUGGAAAGUUUUCCAUCCUACUUUGUAGGGCAGUAUUAGUUCUUAGGGCAAUCCUUUACCAUCAGUUCAUGAUAUGAGCAACACUUAAUGGAGUACUACAACUGAAAGGCUAUGGAUAAUCCUGUUGUUGGUAUAAUGUUACUUCACAGAUUAUCUAUUAUAUACAGUUGGUUGCUUGGUUGCAAAAAAUGCUACAAGAAACAGCUGCGCUUGUAAUUCGUUAUCCGUACAUUCACCAUUGGUAGUCGAGGCUGAUAAGGUCCAAUCAGGAAUCGAACAUGGGUGUCCCAUCCAGACUAAAAUGCAACCCUGGAGUUUUCAAUCUAAAAUGGGGCCAGCAGUGUCUCUAAAAGUCUCCAUUUUAGGGGCUUGAAAACUUGGGGUUAGUAUGGACAGCAGACGUAAAUACAGCGAGAGUGGCUAAAACGUAUUAGUGUGGAUGUAGCCCAAGGUUCUUUAAAUUGUAGUGACACGAUGUGACCAAAACUUUUUUAGACGCACAGCAUAUACAGGCCUUUAAACGACUUAUAAUAAACUAGUUUUCAAAUUAUUUUAGAUGAUUAGAAGAUUUGUUGUUUUUUUGACCUGAAGCAGAUGAUCCCAUUUAAUCCUGUGUUUACAAAACAUCUGCUAUCUGCUCUCCUAAGCUGCAGAACAUUUCACAGUGUCUAAACUGCACAAUCACCCAUUCAUUGUCUGACAACAGGAUCUUUGUGGUUUUCAUGCUCUCACUGCUCUUUGUGUUUUCAGCCUCUCUCUCGUUGCUUCUAAUAUUUAACGAGGGAUCGGAUGUUCGACAGAUGCCCCCCCUCUCACUUUGCUCUUUAUUUGUAUGCAUGUGGUGGUAGCUGAGGUGGGUGGUUGGGGUCAUUAUGUAUCUUGGCUGAGCGACUUGAUGGGUCACAGUUCAGCGGUGGAGCUUCAAAUGAGGAGGAAGGGAGGCCUGGCAAGGACGGCUGCUUCCUCCAUCUGUAUUACCUGUGUCUCUGGUGGCUGCUCUCUCACUUACAGACCCGAGUCGGCGUCUUUCAUCAAAGACCACAGAGUACUGACGGAUACUUCAGCCCGAACUUAAUGGGAUCGAGGUACACAGUACUACAUUUUCCCAGUCUCCCUCAGAGAGUAUUAGAAACACUGGACCUGGUUGGACAAGAGGCAGCAUACCAGGGGCUAAAAAACUGGGUUGGAAAAUAGAUUUUUGCGUGUACAUGUGUGCGAGAAUAGAGACAUUCCUCGGCAUAAAACGUCCCACUUCGCCAUCUGAUAUGUUUAGCAGAGUUGCCCCAUCUCAAAGCCCCCAGAAUGCCGAGUAUUUUCUUGAUCUGGGCUGAGCUCAAGGGGAAGGCAUGCGGGCCCGAUCCCAGGGUCACCACGCUUAAAAGCUGAUGUGGACAGAAGCCAGUCGAAUGAAGACACUGCCGCAAAAAAGAGAGACUGACUACAGUUUGUGUGUCCUCUCGUUUGUUCUCAUAUUUUGGUCUUUAAACCUCUUCACAGAGCGAGACCUCAGCUGGUGGGACUCGCUCCAUGAGGCUCCGUGGAAGCAGCUCAUCUUUUUCCUGCAGGGUUAUAGAAAGGGAAACAGGAACAGCUGCCAGAUAAAAGCUGGAGGUGGGUUUGGAGAAAACAAAAACAAAAAACACAUUUAACACUUGCAGAUGCUAAAAUCUGACGAAUACAUUGGGCACUAAUCAAUGAUAUUUGACAAUGACCUAUUUUAUUUUUUUAGUUAAUGCUCUGAUUUGUAGUUUCAGUAUUAUUGGAGGUAUUGGCUGUGUGGUAUAAGCCUUUUACUGCAUGUUUGUCAGCUUUUAUUGUCCCACAAAAACUUCUAUUGUGUGGUAACACACUAUUAUUCUGUCCAGUGUGUAUUAUCUGUAUUUGCAGCAUGACUUUAUCUUGCAUAUGUGCCAUCAAAUUUGAGAAUAUGUUUCUUAAUUUGCUUGUUUUUUAGUAAGCUGAAACUUCCUUUUUUUUUUUUGUAAAUAUGUUGUGAAAGUGUUUGGCUUGAGUUUUGUCUUUUUACAUGUGUUUUGGGUGCUUUAAACUUUAUUUGGCUGCCAAAAGAAAACAACAACAAAAGAAAAACAACCUCCAACCAUUGGCUAUGAGUUAAAACAAAAGGAAAAAAUGCCCACAAGAACCUGAAACUUGGAGUUACCAGGUUUAACACGGGAACGGCAGCAUGUUUAAUAGAACACCAGUACAGUAACUACCUGCCCAGAUGCCCAUAAUAACAGGGUUCCCAUCGUAAAUCGCCCCCCUCCUUCCCUGUCCAGAGAAGGAUCCACCCUCCACCAGCCAGGCAGCACAUCUUAGCUCCAUGACACUCCUGAACCCCAAGCCGCAGAGCUUUCACCAGCGAGGCCCCAUGGAAAAAUUAAACUGGACACUGAGAGGAAGCCCAGCUUUGUGGUCAUGGCAGGGGAAUAUGAUUGGAUAAACAUACGGCAAAGCCUCAAACCGGUUCUCUCAGUGCCCGGUGGUGAUGUGACGAGAGGCAGGCAGUGAGGUUUUUAUUUGGUCCGGGGUUUGGUGGGAGGUGGGGGUUGGAUCUGAAGGGCACAUACUGUUCUUGGAAGCUCAGAGUUUUACAGAAGAUUGAAAAGGACAUUUAUUGGUGUAGAGCAGGCCAGGCAGCAGUGACAUCCUCAGUCACUGUUUAUUAAAAACAGACCUAAUUAUCCAGCGUCACUCCGCCUGCCCGAGCUAUUUCAGUCCACAAUGAGCAGGUGACUCAAGUUAGAGCAAACUGGGUCAUGUGCGCCUACGUCAUUUACCUUCUAACCUGAGCGUGCCCUCGCUAGAAAAGCUCUCAUUUUUCAAUUAAAGACAAUCAUUAGUCUGUUAGUUCCUGUCUGAAUCUGUAACCAGCUGUGUUCCUGAGAUCAUCAAUGUGCUGCCCUACUGUGUGUUUGUCUGCUCGGUGCAUUGAAAGACAAACCAUUAAAGGUCUUCAGGGACACGUGCAACACAUCAUGUCCAUCUCAGCUGGAUCCAGACGCUUUGAAGUGGAUUAUGGGUAAAGGCAGCCAAAGAAAAUACAUUUACUGUUUUUUAAAUUCUUGUCUUAGUUGGAUACAAAUAGGGAAUAUACAAAUAGACAUUAAAACAAAUAUAGAAGAUAAAUGAAUAUAUAAGAAAUAACAUUAAAUUAAAAAUAAUAUUAUUCCAGGAGGAAAUUCUUGUGUCAGGCAUAGCUCCAAAAAGUAAAAAAACAGUGCCAAAUGCAACUGAAGUGAAAAACUAUUAUAGACACUAUUAAAUAGACAUAAAAAAAUAUAUAUAAAAGUAGAUCUAUAAAGUAUAUAUACAAUAUAUAAACAAUAGAAAAAACAUACACGUAAAAGAACAUGUAAAGUAACAUUGGCUGUGAAUGAACACAAAGUAAUAUUCCACAUGAAAAUGAAGGAAAAAAUUACAUGAAUCAUAUUAAUUAAGAGUAAAAUUGGACCCAGUAUCAGUAAUGUUGAUAUCAGUUGACCUUUCCUGCAUGAUAUAUAAUAAUACAGAAAGUAGAAAAUCUAAAUUGAAUUUUGUUGUUCAGUGGCCUCCACACUCACCUUUAGGAUCUGGUAGUUUGGCAACAUGAAUAUGUACCUGACAAAUGUGCAGAAAUGAUGUGAUGUAGUCGUGUGAACGUGGACGAGAAUCUCUAAGGAAUGUUUCCAACAUCUUGUGGAAUCAAUGCCACAAAGAAUUGAGGCUGUUUUGAGAGGGAGCCACUAACCCAUAUUAAUAUGGUGUUCCUAAUAAAGUGUCGGUUGCAUUGUUACUGAACAUAGUUUAAGUUGUUCUGUCAGUUUAAGUGUAAGAGGUGAAAUGAACUGUUAAUACGUAUGAUUGUGAUAUAAUUGACAAAGUUAUUGCUGUUAUAGAAGUAGAAGAAGCAGCUUUUAUAGUUAAAACCCACUAUCUCACGAGGCAGACAUGUUUUUGUGGAUGUAAUUUAGAAAAAUUCACUGGAGAAUACUGAAGAAACUUUGCCGUUUUCUAAUUAUUUACUCACGUAUUCCCAAUCUGGAUAUUCAACAAUUUGGAUUGGAACUGUUCUUUUGUCUCCAUCCGUCACAGCAAAAUAAACUCAUCAGUUUCCCAAAAUUACCCAGGGUGCCAAGAAGAACAUUUCUGCUAUCUGUUCUUCAUCAUGUUUUUUUUUUUCCCCCGCUCUCACUCUGUUGGACUCAUUUGCAUGUCAUUAUCCUGCCGUCUGUGACACGAAAUGUGGAAUUAUUUACACUGAAAGGGAAAAGAGAAGCGAAAGUAAUCUGUCUUCCAUGAGAGGGAAUUGAAUUUGAAAUGCAAAUCAUAAAAAUAAUUACAACUUGGGGGGGCGCAGCAACAACUCAUCCCCCUCUGCAUUGCUAAUGGCAUCAUCCACAAUAAAUAUAAUGGGACAUUAUUUUUUAUUUAUCAACAAAAUCUCUGUUUUUGCCUCUGUCUUGUGUUUUUUUUCUUCUCUCCCAGAAAUUAAUUGUUUACCGAGAGAAGGAAAGUUCAUUAACUAGUCAUUAGCCUGCUUUUGUCAAAGUAAACCUUGUAACUGUGUGAGUGUAUUUUAACAGACUGGUGCAAGAAUUAAUUCAAAUUCUCCACACACACUCGUUUCCUCCAGACUUAAUGCUCUCAAGCCAAAACAGAUGCCAGCAUCCCAGUCACUCUAAUCACAAAUAAAUCAGAAAUGCAUAUGGAGACUUGUCAUGGAGUCAAGGAUGAGACAUGAGGAAAGACGAUGUGAUGACAACCAAGCCGUUAUAGUGAAAAUGUAAUCAGGAAAAAGGUAGUUAGUCAUCAAAGGGACGAUUAUUUUACUUUGAUAAUUUACUGUGGUUGGUAUCAACAAGAUGUUAUUCAAAACAUUAAACUACCUUAAGAUUACUUUAUCCUAUUGGGAAAUUAAUGAAAAAGUCUAAAUAUUGUUUAAAGACAUGUUUUGAAUUGUUAUUUCAAGGAUCAUUGUACUCAAAUUAUAAAAAUAGAAAAACAAAAACAAAAGAGAAUCCUCCCACACUUACAGGGUUUUGUCAGUGUUUUGACACGCUUCCGUCAUCUUUGCCUCAGAUUUCGUUAGCAAACUUAAUAACACUGAUAGAAACCUGUCAAUGUGCAAUAAUUUACUUUUGGUUUUGUUGCUGUGUGAGUCAUCUGGCAAACAAGAAGCAAUUCCACUUUCAAUUCUACUGUUAAAAUGAAAAUAAUUUUCUUCUGAGGAAACACUUUUGAUGUUGUGGGAAUCUUCCCAAUUCUGAGCAACACAAACAAAAUUCAGUAACGACAGCAGAUGUGUCAGCAGUGGAUUUCCAGAUACAUUAAACACAUUAAAAUUUAAAUUACUUUAAUGGAUUGUAGAUUUCAGCAUUGUAUCACUAAAUGGUGUAUGAAUAACAUGUCAAUUUCAUGAAUAAUCUGCAUUUUUUACUUUUCACACAGCAUUAAAUAACACAAGGAAUUCAGGCUUGUUGAAUGACAUGAAAACACGUGAAAAUUUGUAGAUGUGACACGCAAAAAUGCCCUGAAAGUAGCGUGCUAUUUAAACACAGUCCCAUGAAGUCACAUUGUAGAUACUGUGAGCGGUUAGAGGAAAACAUGCAACCCUGACUAAAAGUAAUUUUAAAAUAAAGUAAACACAUAUUCACACUGAAAACUUACAGUAAAACCACAGAAUUAUAGAGCAAAUUAAGCAAUAAAUACAGUCUCUCUUGUGGAGAUUAUGUAAAAGUGCUGCUAACAGUUUCAACAUGUUGGACUGUAGAGACACAGCGGAAAGAACUGUAUGACUUAAAUUACAUUUAUAGAUGUUCUCCAAGUUGUUUAUCACAGAUGUCACUUAACGUCUCGACUUUUUAAAACUACUAAUAGAGCCAACAUGUGUGUCAGUGUCUGUGCGACACACCAGCUGAUGACAGAGACGAACCUCUGUCCGUGUUUAGACAGGCCUGUCGGAGAGUCCAGCAGUCGAAGUCUAAUGGCCGGGUUUUUGCUUUUUCAGGUGGAACCACAGACAGUCGCUGAGGUCAGACAGAGACGGCAGCCUCCUGAACCCACGGCUGCUUCCUGUCCUGCCUCUGCUGUCCCACCAGAGCUUAAUAUUAUCAAUACAUCUUCUCAGACACAGCCUUUAAAAUCAAUUCUGACAGUGAGAGCCUCCUCGUGUUUCCCUACAUACAGUUUCUAGGGAGCUGAGAUAAUCCUCUCAGAGCAGCCGCUGUGAUGACACAAGCCCGUGGGUGGUCUUAAUGGUCAACAACCUCUUCGUCUCCACACCCAGAGAAACCAAAGACGAUGUAAAUCAACAGGCAGCUUCGCUUACUCCCAGCCAUUUUGGUCUUUCUUCUUCCCAGGACCAAGAUAUAUUCACUCCUCAGCUGAUCAUUAACAAAUAACUUUGCUGCUAACUACAAGGAACCAAUUCCACCAGCUGUUGUUAAAUAACUCUUUGUAAAUAUGCUGUAACAAGGUUAAAUGAAGAUUUACAAAUCACUGAAUCAAAUCACAGAAAAUGUUUUUUACACAAAAAUUGUUUAGAAUUAUUUCUGUCCUACAACUGCCAUAACUGUUACAUACGUUAGCUAACAGAACCAACUGACAAAGCUAAUGUUAGCUUGCUAAUAACUUGCUAAUGAGUUAAGAGUAAAAGAACGAUGGUAUCUGACGAAUCAAAUGUGACACAGGAUGAAAUUUAUGUUCAAUAACAAUGUGAACCUGGAUGUUUUUAAAUUACAAUUCAGAAAAUAGUGCAAUAGUUACAAAACAUUAUACAGAAAUGUUAGCUUAAAUCUAGGCUAACAUUCAACAUUUGAAGACGUCACCUUAGGUUGAAAAACUGUGAUGGAUAUUUUUCAUUAUUUUCUGUCUAUUUAAAUAUAACAUGAUAAAAUAAGAAAAUAAUGGCAGAUUAACUAAUAAUUUAAAUAAUAUGCAGCCUUACAAAGUUUAUUGCUUUAGUUGGAUGGUGCUACAGAUGUCGUAAUGGUGCAACCUGAUUUAGUAGGAUGGAAAUUAAUUAGAAGUUAAUACAAAUUAAGAAAUUACUCAACACACAAACUUAGUUUUGGAUAAUGAAAAGCCGGUGCAGCCCAAUUCGGGUGUGUUGGUUCAUGUCAGUAUUUCAAAUGCUUUUUGUUGGAUGGAUCACAACAGAGAUGGAAAAUUAGAUAGAGACAACAUGAGCCUUUCAAUAAUAAUUUUUUCUGACAUCUCCUGACCCUUCUCCAACACUGAAUAUUUCCAUCAGUUACCCCACAGGGCUCACUGCUUUUUCUUAGCCUAUUUCCAUUCACAUCCUGGCCCACGUCAAAUCCCCGAUGACUAAAACCUAGACCUAGUAAAUCUCAUAGUGAAGCACUGGCUAGCCUCUUGUCAUAUGAUAAACUGCACACGUGUUGUGUCUCCUGGAGUAAGUGGCAGUCUGUGAGCAGUGAACCAAAGGCUGGGAGAUGAGGUAAGGCAUGUCUGCACAGUUAUUGUAGAAGAGCAUUAAUAUCAGGGAGCUGAGACUGCAGCUGCCUGAUGAGAUUAUCUUCCUAGUUUUAAUAUCAGGAUAAGACAGUUGUUUCAUUUUACUACUUUACUACUUUUAAGUUGAUCAACAACAGCGGUACCACAAAAUUUUAAUCUCAGCUCCAUAAUCAAGGCUGUAAAACCUGUAGUUAUAAACAAAAAGUGUGAUGUUACUUUCUCUUUUGGCACCAUUUUAAGUUCUAACAUGUAAAAAUCCACAAGUUUUAUCAGACACUAAACAUUCUUCACAUCAGCUGAAGAAACAAGUGGAUUUAAGGGCUUUUAUUUCUGGUAUUUAUAGCUUGAUUUAGAAAGACGUACAGCUGUGUUGAUCCCAUCCAUGUUAGUCGCCAUUUUUCUGGCUCUGACACGAGAAGAUGACGAUCUCAUUCUUAGUCCCACCGACAGGUUUUGGGUUGUGUUUCCAACCAGGAAAACAUCUGUCAAGGAGCACACAGAAUUAGACAUUUUGGUGGCGAUUCAGAGGCCUGCAACCAAGUUUCCUAACUGUUUUGUAAAUUUAUCCUGCUCAAAUGAAAUCCUUGUCUAAACGUCGCUCCUCUGCAUACAGGUAGUGAUGAUACAAAACCACAAAACUCUCUCUCAAAGACCACUUCAUCAAGAAACAUCUGGACUCACAGAUGUGAUAAAUAUUUGUUUUACAUACUUAUGAACGGCUGUAACAUGAGCAGCAUUGCUUACGUACUUUGUACACAGUGGAUUAGAAAGUAUAAACACUAUACGUUACUUGAGUGCAUACAGUUUUCAACAAGAUAAAUAACAAGAUUUAGAUACAAGGCACCUGCACAUCCAUAAGACUAGACCAGAUAGUUAGCUAAUAACGCAGUACCCACCUUACCUAAAACAGAUUAGUGCAGGGAUGAUGUAUUUUUGUAGGUCACCCUGGUUCCUUUGACAAAAAGCCAAUGGGAUUUUUACAUUAGUGUUUGGAUUAUUGCAAAAAAUAAUUCAACAAAUUAAAAAAAAAAUUCAACAAAAGUUUGUGUUCAUCAGAUAAUCUUCACAAAUGAACACCACUGUUAUGAUUUUUGAAGCCUAAAUACAAUCACCAGAAGUGAAAAGCUGAUGUUAGGUUAUAAACCAACUACACCACUAAGCUUCCAACUGGUCAUUUCAUUUAGCUCUGAGCUCUUCUACAAAAGCCUUUCUUCUUAGAAAGUUAGUGAUAGUUUGAAAGAGCGAGUAGAAACACAAUGAGGCUUUAAGUAGAUCAGUUUUCAUCAAACCUCUGUAGCCUCAUUUAGCCACCGCCUUUUUAAGUCACAUAAAAGCUUUUUUAAAAAUCGCAAGUGGGGUGUUUUCUGAUGUAUUUUAUGUUGUAGAAUAAAACCUGAAAGUCUGGCCUAGACUGUAACAUCCCUGAUUCACAUUUAACUGCAUCACAUUCUCUACUUUUGCUAUCCAAUAAAGGCAUAAAUUGUACCUACAGCAUGUAACCGCCUCUGCAACCACAACUCUUACUGUUACUGUGUACAGAUUAGAAAAUAGCUGUAGAGCUGCAAGGUGGGUGGAUUUUUAACACUGAAGAGAGGCAAGCUAGCUGUUUCCAUUGUUUCCAGUCUUAAUGCUAAGCUAGGCUAAUUCUAGGCUAGGUGACUUCUGGUUUAAGCACCCUACUUAGCACAGACAUCAGAGAGUCUCAUUUAGCUUUUGAAAAGAAAGCAAAUAAGCAUAUUUCACCACACUUAUUCCCGUAAAAGCAAGUAUAUCCCUGAGCUUAAAGCAAAGUAAAUGUAGCGUGUGCAGUUAAGACAGGAUUUGAAUGCAUUAAGUCAAAUUUCUCAAGCUCUUCUCUUGUUGUCACGCGGAGGUGAUACUGUGUAAAGUGCAGCUUUAACGUAAACACCAAUCUGUAUUA